CCCUGCAUUGGAAAGUGAUCUUGGCUACUGGUAUCCCAGUCAUUAGCAGUGAAGGGAAAGGAUGCUGGGAGGUGUGUUCUCUGAGGUUGGGGUAUUCUGUCCUGACCCCUUCAGAGCCUGGACCUUUCCUAUC
RNAcentral lists this small nucleolar RNA (133 nucleotides) under Mesocricetus auratus (golden hamster). RNAcentral describes it as "Small nucleolar RNA SNORA71 (ENSMAUG00000005534.1)". Lineage: Eukaryota; Metazoa; Chordata; Mammalia; Rodentia; Cricetidae. The record is from RNAcentral.